RNAcentral lists this non-coding RNA (29 nucleotides) under Rattus norvegicus (Norway rat). The record is from RNAcentral. Lineage: Eukaryota; Metazoa; Chordata; Mammalia; Rodentia; Muridae.
UGUGACAUUUACUCCGCAAGGGUUCUUCC